RNAcentral lists this ribosomal RNA (484 nucleotides) under uncultured bacterium. RNAcentral describes it as "partial 16S ribosomal RNA". It matches the Rfam family "Bacterial small subunit ribosomal RNA", at positions 30 to 507 of the family's 1533-position model. The record is from RNAcentral.
AUUGAACGCUGGCGGCAGGCCUAACACAUGCAAGUCGAGCGGUAGAGAGAAGCUUGCUUCUCUUGAGAGCGGCGGACGGGUGAGUAAUGCCUAGGAAUCUGCCUGGGAGUGGGGGAUAAAGUUCGGAAACGGACGCUAAUACCGCAUGCGUCCUACGGGAGAAAGCAGGGGACCUUCGGGCCGUGCGCUAUCAGAGGAGCCUAGGUCGGAUUAGCUAGUUGGUGGGGUAAUGGCUCACCAAGGCGACGAUCCGUAACUGGUCUGAGAGGAUGAUCAGUCACACUGGAACUGAGACACGGUCCAGACUCCUACGGGAGGCAGCAGUGGGGAAUAUUGGACAAUGGGCGCAAGCCUGAUCCAGCCAUGCCGCGUGUGUGAAGAAGGUCUUCGGAUUGUAAAGCACUUUAAGUUGGGAGGAAGGGCAGUAAAUUAAUACUUUGCUGUUUUGACGUUACCGACAGAAUAAGCACCGGCUAACUCUGUG